This is a long non-coding RNA of Gasterosteus aculeatus aculeatus (three-spined stickleback), 1168 nucleotides long. The record is from Ensembl. NCBI's taxonomy places the organism in Eukaryota, Metazoa, Chordata, Actinopteri, Perciformes, Gasterosteidae.
GUCUCUUUAAAGUGACCCCGUGGCUUCAAUGGUAACAGCCGAACCUGGGUGGUGUAUCUGGUCAUUUUUACUACAAGGAAAAGAUUUGAUGUUAGCAGCGAUGGCCGCACUGUUGCCCCGGGUCCUGUGUGGGAGUAGAGAGGCUGGCUUUGACAUGCAAUGCUACAUGCAAGAUGGCUCUCAGCUAAUAGGCAGACAAAUCCUUCAGCUUUAUUGCCCGGACUCAAGGGCUGCAGGUGCACAGGCCACAAAAGGGAGAGGAGGGGAGGGGGUUGGAGGAAGGGUAAGGAAAGAGAAUGGUCAGCCGGGAGAUAAGAGAGGACCUUUGCACCCGCCCAUCCUCACCCCGGACCCGGCCUUUACCCCUGCAACACCUCUCCGUUUGGCUCCACUGCUUCGCCACACGUGACAGGGGAAGGCAAACGGCGAGUGGUGCCGCCUGGCGCUACCAGGCUUCUGUGUGUGUGUGUGUGUGUGUGUGUGUGUGUGUGUGUGUGUGUGUGUGUGUGUGUGUGUGGCAGGGGACGGGGCAGGCGUGGCAGAGUGGCCAAGUGGCUGCAGCGGCCCUUUUCUUCUAGAGCAGCAGAGGAGCAGUAAUGACUAGGAGCUACAGCUGUGCCCACUGAGGCUUGCCUACACCUUUCCCUGCAGCGGCCCCUCCACCUCAUCUCGCCUCUGGCCUCCGCCGCCGAGGGAGGGAAGCUACGGAGUGGGAGGGUUCCGUCUUUUACUCCUACUUGCUCUACAACAGAACUAUGAAGAAUAGGUAUUUCCCAUUUAAGAAACACAGAUCAACUCUACUCAUACGUAGACUCUCUUCAUUCAUUGCAGAAAAAUGCGUGUCCCCUGUUCACAGGAUCCGUCCUCAAGGCGACAGUCCAAAACGGAAACGCACAAGGAGCAAGACUGUGGGUUCAGCGUCUUGCUCAAGGACACUUGGACGAAUGUGGCCGAACCUUGUGAUUAAGGGCAGACCCGCUCUGCAACGAGUCACAGCACCAAACUCUGAGUUUGUUGUAUUUGAGUUUAUCACUGUCCCUUAAUCUAAGGGGAAAUUAAGUGAAAGUUAUCUGAUUCAAUCUGGUGUGUAUAUGUGUGUGUUAUAAAAACUAAUUGUGUUCAAAGUGUUACUUGGCUGAUUGUCAAAGUCACUAAUUAUGAAUGUGUC